GUUCAUGGAUCGCCAUCAGCAGCAGAAGCUCCAACAUCCCUGGACAGGAGAGCCAUAAAUCAGUAAUAUGUGGCUAAUACCAGUGUACUGAGAGUGAUAUGAAGCUUGUGAAAUGAAUGAUCACACAAAUCUGCUCAACUCUGCAUGCUGUUGGAGAAAUGGAUCACCUUGCUCUCUUUCUAUGGUCUCUGCCACCAUAUUUAUCAAAUAUAUAUUCAAAUAUGGAGGCAAUCAGCUUUACUCUUCCACCUAGAGAAGAAAGGACCACAAUCAAAUCAGCUAGAGAAGUAAACGGGGCAGCACACUGCCUGAAGGAAAACACCCGGAAACUGCUAAGAGAGUGUUAUCUUCGAAAUCCAUAUCCCAGUCCAGCACAAAAGAGGCAUCUUUCCUACAUGACUGGAUUGCGUCCCACACAAGUUACUAACUGGUAUAAAAACAGAAGACAAAGGGAUAGGGCAGUUAGCUCAAAAAUGAAGUUCCAAUAGAGGCAGUUGUUGACAUCUGAGGAUAUUUCAUGAGGAUCAAAAUGUUCAUCAUAAUGCCAGAUGACCAUUCAAUCAGUAUAUUUGUUGACUGUGUAAUGUACAAAUUUUAAAAAUAGAUAUUAACCCUAGUUAUGCU
This is a long non-coding RNA of Bufo gargarizans (Asiatic toad), 624 nucleotides long. RefSeq lists it as uncharacterized. Lineage: Eukaryota; Metazoa; Chordata; Amphibia; Anura; Bufonidae. The transcript has 4 exons. The record is from RefSeq and is a predicted model, not a curated record.